CUGGAAAAAGAAUAUCAUUAGUCUUUACCGUUACUUAAUUGGCUCUGCAUCAUUGAUGAGGGGGGUAGUCCUGGUGCCAUGUUAUCAUUGAGGUUGUUUGGAAUAUGAGCCCCACUUGGACCAAUCCCUCCAGGACCCAUUGUCAUGUUGGAAGUGGGAGGCUAGGAAGUUAAGAGAUAACGUUAUGUAGCUUGCCAGAAUAAGAACUUUAAACAUUAGUGUGGUUCUCGGUAGAGGGAAAUCAUGUCAGUAUUGCACU
Molecule: long non-coding RNA, 259 nt
Organism: Thalassophryne amazonica
Lineage: Eukaryota; Metazoa; Chordata; Actinopteri; Batrachoidiformes; Batrachoididae
Exons: 3
Source: RefSeq, a predicted model, not a curated record